RNAcentral lists this ribosomal RNA (119 nucleotides) under Phalacrocorax carbo (great cormorant). Lineage: Eukaryota; Metazoa; Chordata; Aves; Suliformes; Phalacrocoracidae. The record is from RNAcentral.
GCCUACGGCCAUACCACCCUGAGAACGCCCGAUCUCGUCUGAUCUUGGGAGCUAAGCAGGGUCGGGCCCAGUUAGUACUUGGAUAGGAGACUGCCCGGGAAUCCCGGGUGCUGUAGGCU